GAUGAACGCUGGCGGCGUGCCUAAUACAUGCAAGUCGAGCGAACAGAUAAGGAGCUUGCUCCUUUGACGUUAGCGGCGGACGGGUGAGUAACACGUAGGUAACCUACCUAUAAGACUGGGAUAACUUCGGGAAACCGGAGCUAAUACCGGAUAACAUUUGGAACCGCAUGGUUCUAAAGUGAAAGAUGGUUUUGCUAUCACUUAUAGAUGGACCCGCGCCGUAUUAGCUAGUUGGUAAGGUAACGGCUUACCAAGGCAACGAUACGUAGCCGACCUGAGAGGGUGAUCGGCCACACUGGAACUGAGACACGGUCCAGACUCCUACGGGAGGCAGCAGUAGGGAAUCUUCCGCAAUGGGCGAAAGCCUGACGGAGCAACGCCGCGUGAGUGAUGAAGGGUUUCGGCUCGUAAAACUCUGUUAUUAGGGAAGAACAAAUGUGUAAGUAACUGUGCACGUCUUGACGGUACCUAAUCAGAAAGCCACGGCUAACUACGUG
RNAcentral lists this ribosomal RNA (497 nucleotides) under uncultured bacterium. RNAcentral describes it as "partial 16S ribosomal RNA". It matches the Rfam family "Bacterial small subunit ribosomal RNA", at positions 28 to 507 of the family's 1533-position model. The record is from RNAcentral.